This 303-nucleotide ribosomal RNA is filed under the name Triticum aestivum (bread wheat). RNAcentral's name for it is "partial small subunit ribosomal RNA". The record is from RNAcentral. Lineage: Eukaryota; Viridiplantae; Streptophyta; Magnoliopsida; Poales; Poaceae.
CCUUGUCCGAACCAGGUCAGUGCGUUCGAGAAAGUUGUGUGGACAUUUGCUGAGAACCCAACUGAGAAUGUUAUCACACCAGUUAUCGGCACAACAUUCGACUCGGUGGGCGAGGCGUAUGACUUCUACAAUUUGUACUCGUGGGAGAAGGGCUUUGGCAUUCGUUACGGCAAGAGCAGGCUAAAUGUGGAGAGGACAAAAUGCAUGCAAGAAAUAGUUUGUGGUUGCUCGGUGAGUUUUUUAUUAUUAUUUAUGUUUAUGCUGGGACAUACAAUUCGUAUUUUGUGUCUGCGUGUGUGGUAG